This 689-nucleotide ribosomal RNA is filed under the name uncultured bacterium. RNAcentral's name for it is "bacterial SSU rRNA". It matches the Rfam family "Bacterial small subunit ribosomal RNA", at positions 1 to 716 of the family's 1533-position model. The record is from RNAcentral.
UCGAUUGAGUUUGAUCAUGGCUCAGGAUAAACGCUGGCGGCGUGCCUAACACAUGCAAGUCGAACGCCCUUUCGCUUCGGUGAGAGGGAGUGGCGGACGGGUGAGUAGCACAUGGGUACCUACCUUGAGGUGAGGAAUACCACCGAGAAAUCGGUGACGAGACCGCAUACGCUCGGGCAACCGAGCAAAGCUCCUUUUCGGAGGGGCGCCCCAAGAUGGGCCUGUGCCUGAUUAGCUAGUUGGUGGGGUAAGAGCCCACCAAGGCGACGAUCAGUAGCUGGUCUGAGAGGAUGAUCAGCCACACUGGGAUUGAGAACGGCCCAGACUCCUACGGGGGGCAGCAGUGAGGAAUUUUCGGCAAUGGGGGCAACCCUGACCGAGCAACGCCGCGUGCAGGAUGACCCUUUUCGGAGCGUAAACUGCUUUUCUCGAGGACGAGGAUGGACGGUACUCGAGGAAGAAGCCCCGGCUAACUACGUGCCAGCAGCCGCGGUAAUACGUAGGGGGCGAGCGUUGUCCGGAGUUACUGGGCGUAAAGGGCCCGCAGGCGGUCGUCUCAGUUCCCCCUGACAAUCCUCGGCUUAACCGAGGAGGGCGUGGGAAGACGGGACGACUUGAGGCAGAGAGAGGGACAGGGAAUUCCGGGUGGAGUGGUGAAAUGCGUAGAUAUCCGGAGGAACACCAAAGGC